Long non-coding RNA from Pecten maximus, 343 nucleotides. RefSeq lists it as uncharacterized. NCBI's taxonomy places the organism in Eukaryota, Metazoa, Mollusca, Bivalvia, Pectinida, Pectinidae. The record is from RefSeq and is a predicted model, not a curated record. The transcript has 2 exons.
AUAAUAGGAAUGACAAGUUCAUCUCAUCUACUACUGAUUCCUGUGCGGACAUUUCUGGAAUAAUUAUACUGGGAAAAAUGGCAUUGAUUGCUAUGAUUUUACCAUUCCUCUUGUGUGUAGCAUUAUUGUCGGAAGGAUAUUUGACAGAGGUUUCAGGACCUGCUGAUCAACCACAAGUCAGUAAGGGAGGAUUUGAUGUUGAACCUCGAAGGAUAGUAGAUAACAAACCGCUCGAUGCCAAAAUCACCAGGAGAAGAGCUGCUGAAGAAUUAAAUGUACCUCCUUCAAUAGCCGGGAAAUGAUGACUUGUAACAAAAGGAAUAAAUUAUCUCAAAACUGAAAA